UUAAAGAAAUAUCAUUAAAGAAAGCUUCUAACUUUUUCAAAAGCAUUAACCUGUUUAU
Molecule: transfer RNA, 58 nt
Filed under: Cautiromimus sp. UPOL 000459
Lineage: Eukaryota; Metazoa; Arthropoda; Insecta; Coleoptera; Lycidae
Description: partial tRNA-Ser
Source: RNAcentral